Eriocheir sinensis (Chinese mitten crab) is the source of this 5817-nucleotide RNA transcript. It is a transcript of the gene named retinal rod rhodopsin-sensitive cGMP 3',5'-cyclic phosphodiesterase subunit delta-like, with no coding region annotated. The transcript is spliced from 8 exons. The record is from RefSeq and is a predicted model, not a curated record. NCBI's taxonomy places the organism in Eukaryota, Metazoa, Arthropoda, Malacostraca, Decapoda, Varunidae.
UAACAUGGGCUGCCAGAUUCUCAACACCGGGAGGUCACUCAAUCAGUCAGUCUAGGAUGCGCCGCUGACGUGAGGGGUCGUGCGCCUCGCCCUUCCCGCUCCCUCCUGUAGUGUGCUAGAGGUCACCAUGCCGUCGAGGUCAGAGGACAUCCUGGAGGGCUUCAAGAUAAACUGGAUGAACCUCCGAGAUGCAGACUCCGGCAAGGUUCUCUGGCAAGGCACUGAUGACUUCACCAACCCGGAUGUGGAGCAUGAGGCUCGGGUACCCAGGAAGAUACUCAAGUGCCGCGCCGUGUCCCGGGAGAUCUCCUUCUCCUCGGUGCAUGCCAUGGAGAAGUUUAGACUGGAGCAGCGGGUGUACUUCAAGGACCGAAUGUUAGAGGAGUGGUUCUUUGAGUUCGGCACCGUGAUCCCCAACUCCACCAACACCUGGCAGAGCUUGAUAGAGGCCGCACCAGAGUCACAAAUGAUGCCGGCCCAAGUCCUCAGUGGGAACGUCGUCAUAGAGACCAAGUUCUUCGACGAUGACCUCCUGGUGUCCACAUCGAAGGUGCGGCUUUACUACAUAUGAGUCAGCUGUUCACCCCUGACGGCGCCCAACAUGGUUGGGUCCCCCGCCAGGCCCUUCAUCACCAGCUGACUCGCCUCUGGCCGCAUCAUGUAUCUUAUUAUUAGUGUGUAGCAUUCUCAUGUUAUAUUUUUAUAAUAAUAAUUUCCAUGGUUCUGUUGGAGUCCAGUGAAGGAAGUUGCGUUGAAACAAUUUUGUAAAAUAUAUAUAAUAUCUUAUAUGAUUUAAUGUAUAUAAGUGUACUUACCUACCUGUGUUAGCACACUGGCUGCCUUAAUUAUUGUGGGGACAUAGUUUUAGUGCUUUUUUUGUCCAGACAGCAGAAAGUACCAAUGAUGGAGGCAAACACUUGCUACUUUGCUCACUCAGACCACCUCCUGCUGGCUGGCUGCGGCGCGGCACAAACGCACACUGCCCACUGCGUACACACACACACACACACACACAUACACACACACACACACACACACACACACUGUAAUUUAUAAUAAUAUAAUAGUCCACAGCAUCAUUCCUGCAUAAUACAGUACUAAAUGUAUUACAAAGUUACUGUGUGUACCACGUUGAAUGCAAGGCUGUUUGUACAGGUAACUGGGUCUCCUUGCACACCAUGUAAUAAUGCCACGGUGGAAUUAUCACUAUUACUAUAACAGCAGUUCGUGAAAUUUGGUAACUGAUGUCUCAGGAGUCUUGAUUGGAAAACGGUAUGACCUUUUCAAUCAAGCCUUAUCCUUGCAUUCAAUCACUGUUAUAAUUUUGUUACCUGCAUCACUCUUAAACCUUUGAUUUUUCAACACUGGGUCUUGUUGACGGUAAUGUGAUGAUGUUGACAACAGCACCGAUAAAACUACUUUGAACACCUGAACCGGAACACUAACGAUAUGAGUAUAACCUGAAGUAAUUAAGGACUUGCCUCAUGCAGUAACAGAGUGGCCCAGCGGCUGCACACACCACCGAAACCUCAUAUUCCUAAGUGUUCUGGUUUGAGGUCAAGCCAUAGAUGUACUAGUUUUUAGACUAUAAAUCAUUCUCGCUGUUUCACUAAGGGCCAUAUUGCAAGUCGAAUCCGGGAAGUUUCGGGUCCCUGCAGAGUUCGGUUCAGGAGUCGUAUUGCAAGUCGAAUUCGGGAAGUUUCGGGUCCCUGCAGAGUUCGGUUCAUGGGUCGUAUUGCAAGUCGAAUUCGGGAAGUUUCGGGUCCCUGCAGAGUUCAGUUCAUGGGCCGUGUUGCAAGUCAAAUCCAGGAAGUUUCGGGUCCCUGCAGAGUCAUUGAUCCCGAACUCUGUAGGGACCCAAAAUUUCCCGGAUUCAACCUGUAAUACGGCCCUGAACCUUUGGCCCCAAGCUGAGAUAUGAGAAUACUGGUGAACACGGGAAAGGUCCACUCAUCACAUUGUCCCGAGAAACACCUAUUAUUUUGUGAGCUGUUUAUGAUACCUCCCUAACCCUCCACCAGUCGUGCUAGUUGUGAUAAGGCUAAUACACUACACUUAACGUUGUUGUCGCUAGAGUUCACUUCUGGCCCUCGGAAGCUGACUGAUGUACUUAUUUUGAUUCUUGUGAAUUUAUAUAUUUUUUUAAGACUUUUGCCAAUAAGAAUCAGGGCUUGACAUCAGGUGCUUCUGUUUUAGUCUUGGAAAUCAUCAAAAUCAGAGCAGCAGUAGUAGUAGUAGUAAUUGUAGUAGUAAUUGUAGUAGUAGUAGUAGUGAGGUUUACAGUUUUUGAAUUUGUUGCAUGUUUUCAUUCACCUCUUCUCACCUUGUUGAUUUGUAGCAAUUUCCUUAACCUUUUUUUUCAGCCUUUUGUAAGAGAUGCACAGAUUUUUAGUAAAGUGUAAAAGAAGAGAGCAACACCUGUCUGUAAAUCAGGCAUGCUAAGACAGGCCGAGGUGGUGGUACUAGUCUACUGAAGGCUGCUGAAACACAACACCUCAGAAAACAAUUGUAUAACUAAGAUGAAGUACACUUUAUUGAAGAGCUUUAUUUUAUUGGCAAAUGCAUUUUGUACCACCUUCAUGGCAUAAGAUGGAGAACUAUAGUUGGUUCACCCAAGUCUGAGACAUGUUUUAUCAUGCGCUGGCAACCUGUUGCCACAUGGCGUGGGUAGUGUGUGACAGCCUGCGCACAGUGUGCAGGCAGCAAUAACAAAUACCAUCAAUAAUAGUUGAGUUUGAGUUAAAACUUCUUAGUACCGUCACAAACGGCUGUUUUGUUAAUAUAAAGCCUGUUCAUUUUCUCGGUGGCAGACAGCCCAAGGCUGUUUAAUAAUUAUGAUCGGCAAUCUUGUAAAUUAACAAAACAGUUGUUUGUGAGAGUGUUCACAAUUUGUUAUUGUUGCUGCAUAUUACUGACGCUGGUGACUUCCCAAUGCAGAGGCUGUCACACAUUAUCCACAAAAUUGGGCACACCGUGUGACGGCAGGCUGCCAGCGCACGCUGCACACCUCAGACUUGGGUGGACCAACUAUGGUCUACUUAAUUAAGGCUGCUAAAACACAACACUGCAGGAAACAAUUGUAUGAUGAAGGCAAAGUACAGUUAUUGAAGAGCUCUAUCUGCAGACACUUUUUAUACCACUCUCAAGGUGUCAGAAAUGCUUCAAUUUCAAACCAGCCAAAAUUCUGAUGUACCACAGCACUCCAAGUUCACCGAGGUACUUGUCAUAUCAUCGAGGUUCCUGCGUGAUAAUCUAAUCAAGUGUCUGAUACCUGUUGGAUGGACUGAGUGAAUGGGUACCACCAGAGCCAUAGAACAGGAGAGUUUGGUCAACCUUAUCACAGGCACCAUGCUGUUACCAAUACUUCUUUACAUAGAUUUACAUAGAUAUUCAGACCACACAGAGCCAAUGGUCCAGACUAGGUGAUUUGUCCUUGAACCUAAGAUUAUAUUAAAUGAAAUGCCACCAGGAUUUUGUAUUUCUACUUCAUUGAAUAUUUAGUUGAAGGAAGUGUCCGAGAUUAUAUUAAAUGAAAUGCCACCAGGACUUUGCAUUUCUACUUUAGUGAAUGUUAAGUUAAUUAACCUCUUCACUCCGGCGAUGCCAACGUCGGCGUCCUACGGCAUCACCGUUAGUCCUCUUCUAAACCUCUUAAGAGGAAAUGGAAGAGGAUUAAAAGGAAUUUAGAGGAGGAUUGAAAGGUUUAGAAGAGGAUUAAUCCUCUUCCAUUUCCUCUUGACCCUUUCCAUACCGUGACGCCGACGUCUGGGUCACGGAUGGAAAGGGUUAGAGGAAGUGGUGGUUGAGAUUGUGUUUAAAUGAGUCAGUCAUGUUGCAGUGUUUACAGUGAAGGAAACACACACACAUAUAAGUUUGAUGAGGUGGAUAGAGAUGAUCUCUUCUUAACUGUGAGAAUGCAGGAGCUGAGAGGACAUAGGAAGAAACUUAAUAAAGGAACCUGUUUGAGUGACUUACAAAGUAUAGUUUUCCACAUAGAAGUGUUAACACAUGGUACAACUUGCGGUAAGAGGUGGUGGAGGCAAACAGUGUCCAACAAAUGAGGGAAAGCCUGGAUGAAUGUAGAUAUGGAGACGGGACUAUUAGAACUUAGCUUGGGCCCAGUAGACUACAAAUAAGUAAAUACAAACAGGUAAAUACACACCAAAAAAAUAUCACAUCAUCAUCAAUUUGAAUUUCACAUUGCUCUUCUGGUAACGAUUCUGCGCCAGUGAUGAAGGUGACCAAACUCUCCUACGCUCUACCUCCAGGUGGCAAUAGGCUUCAUGCAAGGGGUAACAGCACCUCGAGCCUUCAUGUGAUACUAGGGUGCACACUGCCCAUGAACGCUGACCACCCCUUAGCCUAGUCUGUCCCGGCACGGUUCAAGUCUCCGGGAACUCAGUGCAACGCGACGGAGUGCAAACCAUGAUAAUCUGCAUGUUAAGUUACUUUGAUUAACAGCCCUGUGUGACCCCCUUCAGCCUCCCUUGUAGCUAUAGUCACCAUACGUUAACUUGACCACCAGAAGCCCCGCCAGCAUUGCCAGCUUAUCAUAUUCACCACACCAACAUCUGGCCCUUAACCAUUGCCCAAAGGUAUCAGGAACUAGUGAUUUUAACGAUAACUGUAGAAAUCUUGCUAUUGGGACCCAGUGACAGUUAUGGGGUCGGAAAGCAGUAAAUACAAGAGGCUGAGUAGGACAGUCUGGCAAUGCUAAGCCCCGCCCCUUCUUAACCAUUGCCCAAAGGUAUCAGGAACUAGUGAUUUUAACGAUAACUGCAGAAAUCUUGUUAUCAGGGCCCAGUGACAGUUUUGGGGUCGGAAAGCAGUAAAUACAAGAGGCUGAGUAGGACAGUCUGGCAACGCUAAGCCCCACCCCUUCCUCCAUAGUUAGGGAUGAUUUAUUUAUUUAUUUUAUUUUUUUACAGCAGAGGAGUCCGUUCAAGGGCAUAAAAAACUAACAAAUGUGAGAGGAACUUGGAUUUAGAGGUUAUGUUCGUAAUGUUCCAGCGCCCAAGCUCACAGAUUUGUCAAGGCUUUCAUAGGAGUUUUAUGUCCAAAUUAUCAAAUGUAGCUAUCAGGCUCUUACUGUAUUUUUCCAAGGCCACAGAGAAGAUUAAGUAGGAUUGCAAAACAGUCCGUGGAAAUCCCAUCAACUUAUAGUACAGGCUGUAGGCAUCUCCAGGGGUAGUUUUAUGAUCCUGGUGGUUGUUUGACCCUUCUUCUGUACCUUGAACCUGAAGAAACACUCAUUGGGACCCAAUUCAUAUAGUUUUCAGCCUUUGGAAAUUCUUAAACACAAAUUUGACAAGGCUUUCAUAGGAGUUGUGGGCAUUUCCAGGGGUUAUUUUAUGACCCUGGUAGUAGUCUGACACUCCUUCUGUAGCAUGAACCUAAAGAAACACUCAUUAGAACCCGACUGACCUCCUCUUUGGCCUUGGAAAAUAGUUGAUAUGAGAGGCAGAAGCAUUUAAGAAUAACAGGAAGAGGGCAAGGGAAAGGAAGGGGCUCUGAAUCAAAUUAGUGCAUGGUGUCUGUAGAUAAGAACAACCCACUGUUAGUCUAUUUUCCGCCACCAUAUGUUUUCCUUCAUCAUUUUCUCUGUGUGCACGAUUUAAAGCGGUACAAAAUAUUUUACGGAUGAGUUUGUGAAGGUGUCGCCGUUGUUGUCGGAUAUUUUGUGAAGAAAAACACGAUAAACGCUGAAAAAUACUGUACGGUGAAUGUCCUGAUUUUGGCGACCCUGCUCUACACCCUGUGAUUGCAUGUUGACCCUCCACCCACUGGCCCUCAGAAUAAACUUUUCCAAACCCUCGA